AUCCAGUUGACGUGUCCCAAAUAGGGCGAAACGCGCGUCUUGAAU
RNAcentral lists this non-coding RNA (45 nucleotides) under Schistosoma mattheei. Lineage: Eukaryota; Metazoa; Platyhelminthes; Trematoda; Strigeidida; Schistosomatidae. The record is from RNAcentral.